CCUACGGGAGGCAGCAGUAAGGAAUAUUGGUCAAUGGACGAGAGUCUGAACCAGCCAAGUAGCGUGAAGGAUGACUGCCCUAUGGGUUGUAAACUUCUUUUAUAUGGGAAUAAAAUGUUCCACGUGUGGGAUUUUGUAUGUACCAUAUGAAUAAGGAUCGGCUAACUCCGUGCCAGCAGCCGCGGUAAUACGGAGGAUCCGAGCGUUAUCCGGAUUUCUUGGGUGUAAAGGGAGCGUAGGUGGAUUGUUAAGUCAGUUGUGAAAGUUUGCGGCUCAACCGUAAAAUUGCAGUUGAAACUGGCAGUCUUGAGUACAGUAGAGGUGGGCGGAAUGCGUGGUGUAGCGGUGAAAUGCUUAGAGAUCACGAAGAACUCCGAUUGCGAAGGCAGCUCACUGGACUGCAACUGACACUGAGGCUCGAAAGUGUGGGUAUCAAACAGGAUUAGAUACCCCUGUAGUC
Molecule: ribosomal RNA, 460 nt
Filed under: uncultured bacterium
Lineage: Bacteria
Description: partial 16S ribosomal RNA
Rfam family: Bacterial small subunit ribosomal RNA
Source: RNAcentral